UCAGGAUGAACGCUAGCGACAGGCCUAACACAUGCAAGUCGAGGGGCAGCACAAGGAGCAAUCUGAGGUGGCGACCGGCGCACGGGUGAGUAACACGUAUGCAACCUGCCUGUAAGCGGGGAAUAACCCGUUGAAAGACGGACUAAUACCGCAUAAUACUAAAUUACUGCAUGGUAAUUUAUUUAAACAUUUAUGGCUUACAGAUGGGCAUGCGCAUGAUUAGCUAGUUGGAGAGGUAACGGCUCCCCAAGGCAACGAUCAUUAGGGGUUCUGAGAGGAAGGUCCCCCACACUGGUACUGAGACACGGACCAGACUCCUACGGGAGGCAGCAGUGAGGAAUAUUGGUCAACGGACGAGAGUCUGAACCAGCCAAGUCGCGUGCAGGAAGAAUUGUCCUAUGGAUUGUAAACUGCUUUUGCAGGGGAAUAAAGUGCAUCACGUGUGAUGUUUUGUAUGUACUCUGCGAAUAAGGAUCGGCUAACUCCGUGCCAGCAGCCGC
Molecule: ribosomal RNA, 500 nt
Filed under: uncultured bacterium
Lineage: Bacteria
Description: bacterial SSU rRNA
Rfam family: Bacterial small subunit ribosomal RNA
Source: RNAcentral